This 592-nucleotide ribosomal RNA is filed under the name uncultured bacterium. RNAcentral describes it as "bacterial SSU rRNA". It matches the Rfam family "Bacterial small subunit ribosomal RNA", at positions 338 to 913 of the family's 1533-position model. The record is from RNAcentral.
CCUACGGGAGGCAGCAGUAGGGAAUCUUCCACAAUGGGCGAAAGCCUGAUGGAGCAACGCCGCGUGAGUGAUGAAGGCCUUCGGGUUGUAAAACUCUGUCAUUCGGGACGAACCGGAGUCUGAGGAAAUGCAGACUCUCUGACGGUACCGGAGGAGGAAGCCCCGGCUAACUACGUGCCAGCAGCCGCGGUAAUACGUAGGGGGCAAGCGUUGUCCGGAUUCACUGGGCGUAAAGCGCGCGCAGGCGGUGAUGUAAGUCUGAGGUGAAAACCCGAAGCUCAACUUCGGGACUGCCUUGGAUACUGCGUCACUUGAGGAUAGGAGAGGCAAGGGGAAUUCCACGUGUAGCGGUGAAAUGCGUAGAGAUGUGGAGGAACACCUGUGGCGAAGGCGCCUUGCUGGCCUAUUUCUGACGCUGAGGCGCGAAAGCGUGGGGAGCAAACAGGAUUAGAUACCCUGGUAGUCCACGCUGUAAACGAUGAGUGCUAGGUGUAGGUGGGCUCAUACCCAUCUGUGCCGAAGCUAACGCAUUAAGCACGUCCGCCGUUGGGGAGUUACGGGUUCGCGAAGCUUGAAACUUCAAAGGAAUUGA